This 253-nucleotide ribosomal RNA is filed under the name uncultured bacterium. RNAcentral describes it as "partial 16S ribosomal RNA". It matches the Rfam family "Bacterial small subunit ribosomal RNA", at positions 524 to 776 of the family's 1533-position model. The record is from RNAcentral.
UACGUAGGGAGCAAGCGUUAUCCGGAUUUACUGGGUGUAAAGGGCGUGUAGGCGGGAAUGUAAGUCAGAUGUGAAAACUAUGGGCUCAACCCAUAGCCUGCAUUUGAAACUGCAUUUCUUGAGUACUGGAGAGGCAGACGGAAUUCCUAGUGUAGCGGUGAAAUGCGUAGAUAUUAGGAGGAACACCAGUGGCGAAGGCGGUCUGCUGGACAGCAACUGACGCUGAGGCGCGAAAGCGUGGGGAGCAAACAGG